RNAcentral lists this long non-coding RNA (6375 nucleotides) under Theobroma cacao (cacao). Its description in RNAcentral is "long non-coding RNA (TCAC_LNC001234)". Lineage: Eukaryota; Viridiplantae; Streptophyta; Magnoliopsida; Malvales; Malvaceae. The record is from RNAcentral.
UCCUAAUACCGGUGAGUGGACUUGCAUUUCAAAACUUGUUUUGGGGAUAUAAUGUAUUUGUCAAACAUUUGAAUGGAUUAUCCAGCUUUUCAUAAAAACAAGUGCCUUGGGAACAAGCUUUUGAUAGAUUGUCUUCAUGUUGUGACAUGUGACUAUUAUUGAUUCAUGCACUACCACAUUGUGUUGAUAUAUAUAUAUAUGAAUACAUUGUUGUGUAAUGAUAUUGACUCGGCUAUGUGUGAGUAGGGAGUGCGCAUAAGCAGAUGAUGACCCGGUUAUGUGCGAGUAGGGAGUGCGCAUAAGCCGGUGAUAACCCGGUUAUGUGCAAGUAGGGAGUGCGCAUAACCUGGUGAUGACCUAGCCAUGUGCGAGUAGGGAGUGCGCAUGAGCUGGGAAUAAUGAUGAUGAUGGGAUGGUGUGCAUGAUGAUGAUGGGUAUAUGGUUGUAAAUGCAAAUAUGUGAGCAUUUGAUUUGUUGAAAUUUGGGAGUUUAAAUGUGUUACAUGUUGCUAUUGUUAUUUUAGCAGGAUGACUUGUUUUAAGGGAAAAGGAGACUUUUUCCUUGAUGUUCAGAUUCUCGCUGCAACGAGAUUCAUUCUCGCUGCAACGAGAAACUCUCGAGUUUGAGGGCCUUUACCAGACUUGGUUUUCACUGCAGCAAGAAUGAAGUUCAUUGCAGUGAGAAACUUUCUAUCCAUUUUGCUAACUUGUGGGUUUUUGCCAUAUUUCCCAUUUUCUUGGUACCAUAGUUGAGCAUGGAUCUUUGUAAAGUGAUUUACUCAUGUGGGGUUUGCAUAAGGGGUUUAAAAGAACCAAAAUAAUUGCAUUGUUUUGAGAAAAUGAAUGCAUCAUGAUUUCGUUAAACAUUCCUUAUGGUAUGCUUGUUCCUUUUCUUGUUCACUCAUUGAGUUUAUGCUCACCGCUUUCAACUUCAUAUUUUCAGAUUACGAGGCAGCUGGUAACUAGGUCGAGGUACCUUUGUAGACUCGACUAUUGGUAGGUGUCUCGACAUUUAGUAGCUGUACAUUCGUCAAGUUUCUCCGCUGGACAUCGAGUCUUCUUUUGUUAUGAAUAGACGAACCUAAUGUGAAUUAUUAAGAUAUAUGUUGUAGACAGUGUAUAUACACUUGUUUGGUAUACCAGUAUGAGGGGCAAUGUUCAAUAUUAUUUCGAUUCUAAGUUAUGAUAUAUAACUUAGCAGUUUAUGAUGGAAUAAUGAAUAUGUCAGAUUAAUAGGCUUGCUUAGGCUUAGUGGACUACGUCCAUUGGGUCCAUGCGCCGGUCAUGGCCUAAAAUUUGGGUUGUGACAAUGUUGGUAUCAGAGCUCUAGGUUUGUCUAGGUCAUAGGACUUCCAUUUGUUGGUCCAGUAGAGUGUCAGGUUUUUAUGUGGGAACUUCAGUUGUGAAGUGUGAAUCGCGGCACAUUUUACGACCAAGGGACUGCAUAGAUUCCCUAUCUUAGAAACCACCUUUCCCUUGAGUAUGAUUAUGAAAUGUGUUUAGUAACAGGUGUUUGCUCAUCUUGGUAAGAAUGCAGCCUAAGACAUGAGCCACCUCAAGACGGAUGGGGGAGCAAGAUGCUCCUACUGAGAUGGCAAAUAGGCCACGGGCAUCCAACCUAAGGGGCCGAGGUAGACGUGGCAGGGCCACUAGGCUGGUGAAGGUGGAUACUCCUGUGGGUAAGUAAGAGGAGGGACAGUCCUCAGGUGAUGUAGAUAGACACCCAACUGGGGGUAUUACCAUUGAGGAUUUGACGGCAGGCUUACAGGGAGUUAAUCGGGUUGUAGAGAUGAUGACGACUCGUAUGGAGGAUAUACAGAGGGUAGUAGAGGGGAGACCUACAGUGCAAGAAUCCCCUAACUCCUAAGGACAAGCCGACCGCCAAUAUCAUGAGGUUGAGAGGGGUCACUUAGAGAUUUCUUUUCCUGAUUUUCUUAAGCUUAAGCCUCCAUCAUUUUCAGGGUCCGAUGCAUCGAAAAAGCCCCAGAUCUUUUUAGGUAAGAUGGAGAAAAUAUGUAAGGCUUUGGGAUGCUCUAGUGUCUGAUCAAUCGAGCUAGCACAUUUUAGAGUGAGGCCUAUUUUAAUGGACAAGAUUAAAGAAACACAAGGUAAAGAUGAGUUUAUAGUUAAGGCCUUAGAGGAUCCUCAAGGAAGAAAAGGAAAAAUGUUUACCAAAGGCAUAGAUGGAGUGAAGAGGUAACAUGGGAGGUCGAUGAGGAUAUAUGGAAAAAGUAUCCCCACCUUCUUGUUGCAUAGAGGUAAGUGACCUUAUAGUUGAAUUUAAAUUCGAGGACCGAAUUUCUUUAAGUGGGAGAGAAUGUGAGACCUUGACCCUUAUAGACUCAUAGAUAGAAACAUACGCGAUAUCCCUAAUCAAGGGUAAUUUCGUCAUUUUCUUAAUAAGCCCAUAAAAGUAAGUUUUAAACAAUAUUAUGGCUUAAGUAGGCCUAAAGCAUAAAUGAAUGAUGAAAAUAUGGGUGAAAUGACAAGGAAAUAAAAUUUUUGAUGAUUUUCAUGUUUUAGGGGCAAAAUGGUCACUUUUGUCACUUGAGGAUAAAAUAGAAAUUUUUGAAAUUUUACACCACCCUAACACUUGUCAAGCCCAUGGAUUUCAGCCAUUAACAUUUUACAUUAUGGAUAAUUGAAACAUUUUAUGAGGUGGAGAAAGAUUGCUUAAUNGUUUUAGGGGCAAAAUGGUAAUUUUGUCACUUGAGGAUAAAAUAGAAAUUUUUGAAAUUUUACACCACCUAACACUUGUCAUGCCCAUGGAUUUCAACCAUUAACAUUUUACAUUAUGGAUAAUUGAAACAUUUUAUGAGGUGGAGAGAGAUUGCUUAAUGGAUAAGUAUUACACAUGGACCAAUGAAAACAUGCCAUGUGUCAAGCUUGGAUCAUUCUAGAAUUUCCUUGUCAAAUCUAUUUAAAACUCUCUUAGUAUCACCCAUAUGGCUGGCCAAAGCAUAAAGUGAAGAGGAAAGGAAAGAACACAAACCCUAGGUGGGAAAAUUGAAGAAAAAGUGUGGGAUUCUAAGGAAUUAAGCAAGGUAAAGUGAAAAUUCUUUAUUUUUACUUGAGAUUUACAAUACCCAUGCUUUAUUUUCUUAUUUCUAUGGUUGAGAACCAUGAUUUCAUAGUGAAUAAGUGGUAGGCAAAAUGGGUAUGGAGAGAGAAUGAUCUUGGAUUGGUUUGAUUUUUAGGUAUGUUAGUAUUUUUAGGUGAUUAAUGAUGUGUAGCAUGAAAACAAGUGAAGAAAACUACCAAAGGUUUAGUGCCCAUCAAUAGCCAAAUUCUCUAAGUGAAUAAUGAGGAAGAAUGGGAUGUUAUUCUAGGUGAUUUGAUUAAGAAAUAAUAGUUUUUGGUGUAGGAACUAAUGAAUAAUGGUGAGAAAAUUAAGUAGGAAAAAUCAUGGAGUUAGUGUACCAUUGUUGGCCAAAGUUCCAAGAAAAAAAAUGAAGAUAAAUUUUGCCUAAUUAUGUGUUAAUUAGUUUGUGCUUGGUGAAUUGAGGGAUUGGAAAAGAAAUGGAGCAAGUUGGAGUGAAAUUGGACGCAUUGGCCAAUUUAUUGGAUGAAAAAUCGACUUAGGCCAAUACCGGAUCUAGAUGGCUACCCGUGCAUUUUUCAUUUCAUAUAAUAUAUAUAUCGAGCCUGAAUAACUUAUGACUGUUAGACAUAAUUUAAUUGGAAUAUGUGUCAUGGAUUAUGGCUAGGUGGUGAGCCAUUGGACAUGGGUAAAGGACUGUACCCGCGAAUUGAAAAUAAGAGUGUUUCUACUCCUAAUACCAGUGAGUGGACUUGCAUUUCAAAACUUGUUUUGGGGAUAUAAUGUAUUUGUCAAACAUUUGAACGGAUUAUCCAGCUUUUCAUAAAAACAAGUGCCUUGGGAACAAGCUUUUGAUAGAUUGUCUUCAGGUUGUGACAUGUGACUAUUAUUGAUUCAUGCACUACCACAUUGUGUUGAUAUAUAUAUAUGAAUACAUUGUUGUGUAAUGAUAUUGACUCGGCUAUGUGCGAGUAGGGAGUGCUCAUAAGCCGAUGAUGACCCGAUUAUGUGCCAGUAGGGAGUGCGCAUAACAUGGUGAUGACCUAGCCAUGUGAGAGUAGAGAGUGCGCAUGAGCUGGGAAUGAUGAUGAUGAUGAUGGGAUGGUGUGCAUGAUGAUGAUGAUGGGAUGGUGUGCAUGUUGAUGAUGGGAAUAUGGUUAUAAAUGCAAAUAUGUGAGCAUUUGAUUUGUUGAAAUUUGAGAGUUUACAUGUGUUACAUGUUGCUAUUGUUAUUUUAGCAGGAUGGCUUAUUUUAAGGGAAAAGGAGACUUUUUCCUUGAUGUUUUGAUCCUCGCUGCAGCGAGAAACUCUCGAGUUUGAGGGCCUUCACCAGACUUGGUUCUCGCUGUAGCGAGAAUGAAGCUCGCUGCAGUGAGAACUUUCUGUCCAUUUUGCUAACUUGUGGGUUUUUGCCAUAUUUCCCAUUUCUUUGGUGCCAUAGUUGAGCAAUGAUCUUUGUAAAGUGAUUUACUCAUGUGGGGUUUACAUGAGGGGUUUAAAAGAGCUAAAACAAUUGCAUUGUUUUGAGAAAAUGAAUGCAUCAUGAUUUCGUUAAACAUUCCUUAUGGUAUGCUUGUUCCCUUUCUUGUUCACUCACUGAAUUUAUGCUCACCACUUUCAACUUCAUGUUUUCAGAUUACGAGGUAGCUGGUAACUAGGUCGAGGUACCUUUGUAGACUCGACUAUUGGUAGGUGUCUCUGCAUUUAGUAGCUGUACAUUCAUCAAGUUUCUCCGCUGGACAUCGAGUCUUCUUUUGUUAUGAAUAGACGAACCUAAUGUGAAUUAUUAAGAUACAUGUUGUAGACAAUGUAUAUACACUUGUUUGGUAUGCUAGUAUGAGGGGCAAUGUUCAAUAUUAUUUCGAUUCUAAGUUAUGAUAUAAGACUUAGCAGUUUAUGAUGGAAUAAUGAAUAUGUCAGAUUAAUAGGCUUGUUUGGGCUUAGUGGACUACGUCCAUUAGGUCCAUGCAUCGGUCAUGGCCCGAAAUUUGGGUCGUGAUAGUUGUGCUACCCAUAGGGCGGCACUUUGUUUUUGUCCCUUGAGUUCUUCCUUACGUAACGUCCAUAAGAUAGGCACCUAAUUUCUUAGCCCUUAUGGGGCAUGACAUGUAUGCGUCCCUUGAAUUUGUGAUGCUUAGGGUGCGUGGCAACAUAAUGUGUGUCUUGUGUGUGGCCCCUGAUUUCAUGGCCUACUUGUGUGCGGUUUACAAAUUUGGGAGCUAACAUGCAUGCCCUGAUGGCCGUGGUCCUGCUAAGCCCCUCUUCAAGGUGCCUUGCCUAUGUGGCUUGGGUUACUUGGGAAGCCCCUUUUUUUGCAUGCUGGUUCAAUGGUUGGUUAGGCUGGUGAUAACUCUAUUAUAUAGAGUUAUUUUUAACACACUUUGGGGAAUUUAGUAGCUAGACCUUUGAGUUUUACGUUUGGAUUUUAGCAUUUUAGCUGUUUUCUUAGUUAAGUUAGAUUAUAUGUUGAAUAGUUAAAUUAAGUGAUUUAAGUUUAAUUUUAAUUUAUUUGGUUUAAUAACUUUAAGAAGAGUUAAUGUCGGUUUCUCUCAUGGUUAUGUACAGGAUAUGUGAUGAGCAAGGUGAAAUUGAGUUAUGAUAGCACAAGUAUGGUGAAGGUGUCACUUGUACAUGUUGCAGUAAUUUGAAGAUAAUUUGAGUUAUAGAAAUCCAAUUGAUGUGAUUUUUCAUUCAUUGGAAAUCUAAGAAAAUGGGCUAUAACUUUCAUGUUUUCCACUUUAUCCAGUUCGGACCAGCUAGAGAUAAAAAUCAUAUUCAAAAUUGAUACAUAGAUGUAGUUAUGCACUUAAAGUAGCAUGGAUUGAGGUCGGGGCACUGAAAGUGAGACCGCCGUAGCGUCAAAGAACUAUGGCCAUGGUAUUGAACAUCAUGGGAGCAUCAUACAAAAACCCAAGAGCAUAGUGCUGUUGUGGAGCUACCAAGGAAGACCACAGCGUCACGGCGCCAGAAAGUUAUGGCCUUUGCGCCAUCCCAACUUCAAAAAAUAUACUAUCGACGAAAAAUUGGAAAGUAGGGCAGCUUGCACAUAUUUAAGAGCCUUUUUGGAGCAUAAUCAAGGGGGAGACGACAACAGCUAUUUUGGAUAAUUGGAUCUAUGAAUCAAGAAAGAAUUCAAGAGUGAUUGAGAGGGUUUCCAGAUUUACCAGGAUUCAACAUUAGUUUUUUUCUCUCUUUUUGUUGUUCUCAAUUUCUUGUUUUGAAUUCCUUGCUAAAUUUUUUUGGAUGUUGCUUUUAUUGGUUAUUAUGAGCUAAAUUAUCUUUCUAGGAUUGUGGUGGAUUUUAACAUGUAAUCUGAAUAUUUGUUUUUGUUUUAUU